UUAAGCGACUAAGCGUACACGGUGGAUGCCCUGGCAGUCAGAGGCGAUGAAGGACGUGCUAAUCUGCGAUAAGCGUCGGUAAGGUGAUAUGAACCGUUAUAACCGGCGAUUUCCGAAUGGGGAAACCCAGUGUGAUUCGUCACACUAUCAUUAACUGAAUCCAUAGGUUAAUGAGGCGAACCGGGGGAACUGAAACAUCUAAGUACCCCGAGGAAAAGAAAUCAACCGAGAUUCCCCCAGUAGCGGCGAGCGAACGGGGAGCAGCCCAGAGCCUGAAUCAGUAUGUGUGUUAGUGGAAGCGUCUGGAAAGGCGCGCGAUACAGGGUGACAGCCCCGUACACAAAAAUGCACAUGCUGUGAGCUCGAUGAGUAGGGCGGGACACGUGGUAUCCUGUCUGAAUAUGGGGGGACCAUCCUCCAAGGCUAAAUACUCCUGACUGACCGAUAGUGAACCAGUACCGUGAGGGAAAGGCGAAAAGAACCCCGGCGAGGGGAGUGAAAAAGAACCUGAAACCGUGUACGUACAAGCAGUGGGAGCACGCUUAGGCGUGUGACUGCGUACCUUUUGUAUAAUGGGUCAGCGACUUAUAUUCUGUAGCAAGGUUAACCGAAUAGGGGAGCCGAAGGGAAACCGAGUCUUAACUGGGCGUUAAGUUGCAGGGUAUAGACCCGAAACCCGGUGAUCUAGCCAUGGGCAGGUUGAAGGUUGGGUAACACUAACUGGAGGACCGAACCGACUAAUGUUGAAAAAUUAGCGGAUGACUUGUGGCUGGGGGUGAAAGGCCAAUCAAACCGGGAGAUAGCUGGUUCUCCCCGAAAGCUAUUUAGGUAGCGCCUCGUGAAUUCAUCUCCGGGGGUAGAGCACUGUUUCGGCAAGGGGGUCAUCCCGACUUACCAACCCGAUGCAAACUGCGAAUACCGGAGAAUGUUAUCACGGGAGACACACGGCGGGUGCUAACGUCCGUCGUGAAGAGGGAAACAACCCAGACCGCCAGCUAAGGUCCCAAAGUCAUGGUUAAGUGGGAAACGAUGUGGGAAGGCCCAGACAGCCAGGAUGUUGGCUUAGAAGCAGCCAUCAUUUAAAGAAAGCGUAAUAGCUCACUGGUCGAGUCGGCCUGCGCGGAAGAUGUAACGGGGCUAAACCAUGCACCGAAGCUGCGGCAGCGACGCUUAUGCGUUGUUGGGUAGGGGAGCGUUCUGUAAGCCUGUGAAGGUGUGCUGUGAGGCAUGCUGGAGGUAUCAGAAGUGCGAAUGCUGACAUAAGUAACGAUAAAGCGGGUGAAAAGCCCGCUCGCCGGAAGACCAAGGGUUCCUGUCCAACGUUAAUCGGGGCAGGGUGAGUCGACCCCUAAGGCGAGGCCGAAAGGCGUAGUCGAUGGGAAACAGGUUAAUAUUCCUGUACUUGGUGUUACUGCGAAGGGGGACGGAGAAGGCUAUGUUGGCCGGGCGACGGUUGUCCCGGUUUAAGCGUGUAGGCUGGUUUUCCAGGCAAAUCCGGAAAAUCAAGGCUGAGGCGUGAUGACGAGGCACUACGGUGCUGAAGCAACAAAUGCCCUGCUUCCAGGAAAAGCCUCUAAGCAUCAGGUAACAUCAAAUCGUACCCCAAACCGACACAGGUGGUCAGGUAGAGAAUACCAAGGCGCUUGAGAGAACUCGGGUGAAGGAACUAGGCAAAAUGGUGCCGUAACUUCGGGAGAAGGCACGCUGAUAUGUAGGUGAAGUCCCUCGCGGAUGGAGCUGAAAUCAGUCGAAGAUACCAGCUGGCUGCAACUGUUUAUUAAAAACACAGCACUGUGCAAACACGAAAGUGGACGUAUACGGUGUGACGCCUGCCCGGUGCCGGAAGGUUAAUUGAUGGGGUCAGCGCAAGCGAAGCUCUUGAUCGAAGCCCCGGUAAACGGCGGCCGUAACUAUAACGGUCCUAAGGUAGCGAAAUUCCUUGUCGGGUAAGUUCCGACCUGCACGAAUGGCGUAAUGAUGGCCAGGCUGUCUCCACCCGAGACUCAGUGAAAUUGAACUCGCUGUGAAGAUGCAGUGUACCCGCGGCAAGACGGAAAGACCCCGUGAACCUUUACUAUAGCUUGACACUGAACAUUGAGCCUUGAUGUGUAGGAUAGGUGGGAGGCUUUGAAGUGUGGACGCCAGUCUGCAUGGAGCCGACCUUGAAAUACCACCCUUUAAUGUUUGAUGUUCUAACGUUGACCCGUAAUCCGGGUUGCGGACAGUGUCUGGUGGGUAGUUUGACUGGGGCGGUCUCCUCCUAAAGAGUAACGGAGGAGCACGAAGGUUGGCUAAUCCUGGUCGGACAUCAGGAGGUUAGUGCAAUGGCAUAAGCCAGCUUGACUGCGAGCGUGACGGCGCGAGCAGGUGCGAAAGCAGGUCAUAGUGAUCCGGUGGUUCUGAAUGGAAGGGCCAUCGCUCAACGGAUAAAAGGUACUCCGGGGAUAACAGGCUGAUACCGCCCAAGAGUUCAUAUCGACGGCGGUGUUUGGCACCUCGAUGUCGGCUCAUCACAUCCUGGGGCUGAAGUAGGUCCCAAGGGUAUGGCUGUUCGCCAUUUAAAGUGGUACGCGAGCUGGGUUUAGAACGUCGUGAGACAGUUCGGUCCCUAUCUGCCGUGGGCGCUGGAGAACUGAGGGGGGCUGCUCCUAGUACGAGAGGACCGGAGUGGACGCAUCACUGGUGUUCGGGUUGUCAUGCCAAUGGCACUGCCCGGUAGCUAAAUGCGGAAGAGAUAAGUGCUGAAAGCAUCUAAGCACGAAACUUGCCCCGAGAUGAGUUCUCCCUGACUCCUUGAGAGUCCUGAAGGAACGUUGAAGACGACGACGUUGAUAGGCCGGGUGUGUAAGCGCAGCGAUGCGUUGAGCUAACCGGUACUAAUGAACCGUGAGGCUUAACCUU
RNAcentral lists this ribosomal RNA (2901 nucleotides) under Escherichia coli. RNAcentral's name for it is "bacterial LSU rRNA". It matches the Rfam family "Bacterial large subunit ribosomal RNA". Lineage: Bacteria; Pseudomonadati; Pseudomonadota; Gammaproteobacteria; Enterobacterales; Enterobacteriaceae. The record is from RNAcentral.